Molecule: ribosomal RNA, 254 nt
Filed under: uncultured bacterium
Lineage: Bacteria
Description: partial 16S ribosomal RNA
Rfam family: Bacterial small subunit ribosomal RNA
Source: RNAcentral
UACGGGGGGGGUAAGCGUUGUUCGGAAUUACUGGGCGUAAAGGGCUCGUAGGCGGCCAACUAAGUCAGACGUGAAAUCCCUCAGCUUAACUGGGGAACUGCGUCUGAUACUGGAUGGCUUGGAUUUGGGAGAGGGAUGCGGAAUUCCAGGUGUAGCGGUGAAAUGCGUAGAUAUCUGGAGGAACACCGGUGGCGAAGGCGGCAUCCUGGACCAAUAUUGACGCUGAGGAGCGAAAGCCAGGGGAGCAAACGGGG